CCUACGGGAGGCAGCAGUGGGGAAUAUUGGGCAAUGGGCGCAAGCCUGACCCAGCAACGCCGCGUGAAGGAAGAAGGCUCUCGGGUUGUUAACUUCCUUUCUUAGGGACGAAGCAAGUGACGGUACCUGAGGUAUAAGCCACGGCUAACUACGUGCCAGCACCCGCUGUAAUACGUAGGCGGCAAGCGUUAUCCGGAUUUACUGGGUGUAAAGGGCGUGUAGGCGGGGACGCAAGUCAGAUGUGAAAACCACGGGCUCAACCUGUGGCCUGCAUUUGAAACUGUGUUUCUUGAGUACUGGAGAGGCAGACGGAAUUCCUAGUGUAGCGGUGAAAUGCGUAGAGAUUAGGAAGAACACCAGUGGCGAAGGCGGUCUGCUGGGCAGCAACUGACGCUGAGGCGCGAAAGCGUGGGGAGCAAACAGGAUUAGAUACCCCUGUAGUC
This 443-nucleotide ribosomal RNA is filed under the name uncultured bacterium. RNAcentral describes it as "partial 16S ribosomal RNA". It matches the Rfam family "Bacterial small subunit ribosomal RNA", at positions 338 to 795 of the family's 1533-position model. The record is from RNAcentral.